GGGGAUGUGGCUCAAGCGGUAGAGUGCUUCCCUGCCAUGGGCGGGGUGCUGGGUUCAAUCCUCAGCACCACA
RNAcentral lists this transfer RNA (72 nucleotides) under Marmota monax (woodchuck). Its description in RNAcentral is "tRNA.Gly". The record is from RNAcentral. Lineage: Eukaryota; Metazoa; Chordata; Mammalia; Rodentia; Sciuridae.